UGGACAGACAUGUUCAAGCUCAAGCUCCAACUGCAAACAAUGGUGGAGAAGAAACCACCACAACAAUACUGAAAAAUGCCCCAGUGCUGCCCACGUCAAAGAUAAGAAAUAAGAAGACUGACAAAGAAAAGCAGUGUAUACAGAAAGAACUGGACCGAGCCAGAGAGAAAACAUCAUUUCAGAGGUGGAGGGAGCUGCGCGAUUUGUAAGGACUCAAGAGCUUUGCAGAGUUGACUGCUUUUCUGCUGGACAAGUCAGAUUUUGUUGCUCAGUUGGAGGUCUUCUGAGGAAAACUUGCAGCCCACAGAGGAGAUUUUGGAGACUUGAGAAGAUUUCAGAGUUUCCAGAGCGAGACUUCCAAUACUGGAGGAUGAGCCCAGCCCAUAAGAGAUACCGAGCCACCUGUCUGCAGUUAGAGGCCUGUGAAUUAAGGAUCACCCACACUUAACUCAAGUGCGGGAUUUUGGCAGCCUGACAGUCGGAUGACACCGCUUAUAGAGAUUCUAACACUGUCUCUGCCCUACCGUCAGGGUAGUCAGGCUGGCUGAGGUGCAGGUCGUUGCAGGUCCUGGCAGGGUUGUCCUGGGUGCCCAUGGGGAACUUCAUGCGCUCGAUGUCCUGUUUGAGGUUGUUGAGGGAUCCAAAGAC
Long non-coding RNA from Acanthopagrus latus (yellowfin seabream), 648 nucleotides. RefSeq lists it as uncharacterized. Lineage: Eukaryota; Metazoa; Chordata; Actinopteri; Spariformes; Sparidae. The record is from RefSeq and is a predicted model, not a curated record. The transcript is spliced from 4 exons.